AUACGGAGGGUGCAAGCGUUACUCGGAAUCACUGGGCGUAAAGGACGCGUAGGCGGCUUCAUAAGUUAGGUGUGAAAGCCCACGGCUCAACCGUGGAACUGCACUUGAAACUGUGAUGCUAGAGUCUGGGAGAGGCAGAUGGAAUUGGUGGUGUAGGGGUAAAAUCCGUAGAGAUCACCAGGAAUACCGAUGGCGAAGGCGAUCUGCUGGAACAGUACUGACGCUGAGGCGUGAAAGCGUGGGGAGCAAACAGGAGUAGAAACCCUUGUAGUCC
Molecule: ribosomal RNA, 274 nt
Filed under: uncultured bacterium
Lineage: Bacteria
Description: partial 16S ribosomal RNA
Rfam family: Bacterial small subunit ribosomal RNA
Source: RNAcentral